CACGUGGGCAACCUGCCCUGAAGCGGGGGAUAACAUCUGGAAACAGGUGCUAAUACCGCAUAACAACGAAAACCACAUGGGUUUUCGUUUCAAAGAUGGUUUCGGCUAUCACUUCAGGAUGGGCCCGCGGUGCAUUAGCUAGUUGGUAAGGUAACGGCUUACCAAGGCAAUGAUGCAUAGCCGAGUUGAGAGACUGAUCGGCCACAAUGGAACUGAGACACGGUCCAUACUCCUACGGGAGGCAGCAGUAGGGGAUCUUCCACAAUGGGCGCAAGCCUGAUGGAGCAACACCGCGUGAGUGAAGAAGGGUUUCGGCUCGUAAAGCUCUGUUGUUGGAGAAGAACGUGCGUGAGAGUAACUGUUCACGCAGUGACGGUAUCCAACCAGAAAGUCACGGCUAACUACGUGCCAGCAGCCGCGGGUAAUACGUAGGUGGCAAGCGUUAUCCGGAUUUAUUGGGGCGUAAAAGCGAGCGCAGGCGGUUGCUUAGGUCUGAUGUGAAAGCCUUCGGCUUAACCGAAGAAGGGCAUCGGAAACCGGGGCGACUUUGAGUGCAAAAGAGGACAGUGG
Molecule: ribosomal RNA, 570 nt
Filed under: uncultured bacterium
Lineage: Bacteria
Description: bacterial SSU rRNA
Rfam family: Bacterial small subunit ribosomal RNA
Source: RNAcentral